GCCAUGAGCACUGAUGAAUGAGCAUUCAGGGAUGAAUUAUUUAUCUCAGCUUCACAAACAAUAUUCAGGUUUUGAGCCCUCCCUCUGAGCAUCUUCCUGAGAUGUGAUGCAGUAGAGCUAUCUGGGAAAUCUCAGAGCAUUUUGUGGAAAAGUGAAGAAGGCUCGUCUACGUUUCUCAGCAUGGUCCCAGUGCUGCUGGAACCCAAAAAACAGAGUCCUGAGGAUUCCUCAUUAUUAUUUGAAGUAUACCCCAGAAAAGACUUUACAGUCUAGCAAGAUCUUUGUGCUAACUUAAAAAUUUAGGACACAAGCAAGUAUUCUAGGAUGAGCAUUGAUGGAAAAUUACAAUAUUGUUUGCUGUCUGCUGAAAACAUAAAUCUAGGAGAAAGAAUGUUAUAGGGAGACCUCAGUGGUCCUUGUGUUCCUCCUCCUCUUUAUAAUUCCUCUUUCACACCAGUGCUAGGGAGGCAGCCAGGUAGCUCCAGAUAGUCUGCUAGGCAACUCGCAUCUGGCUCUUUUUAAGGGAGUUACCCUUAAUGAGCUGACACCUAGGAAAUCAGAAGUGAAUGCCCAAAGUGACAUCUUCAUUUCUUCAUCCACUCAUACAGGAAGUAUGACAGCCUGAAAGUGUGAGACUUUGCAGUCCUGGGAGACUAAAGCAGCUAACAAGCAUAUUUACUGUUCAGUGGCAUAGCAUGAAU
RNAcentral lists this long non-coding RNA (701 nucleotides) under Anser brachyrhynchus (Pink-footed goose). RNAcentral's name for it is "lncRNA (ENSABRG00000018689.1)". The record is from RNAcentral. Lineage: Eukaryota; Metazoa; Chordata; Aves; Anseriformes; Anatidae.